GAGCCGGAAAGGCCCUUCGGAGUAACUCGAGCGGCGAACGGGUGAGUAACACGUGAGCAACCUGCCCUUGGCUUUGGGAUAACCCCGGGAAACCGGGGCUAGUACCGAAUAUGACUCCUGUCCGCAUGGGUGGGAGUGGAAAGUUUUUCGGCUGAGGAUGGGCUCGCGGCCUAUCAGCUUGUUGGUGGGGUAAUGGCCUACCAAGGCUUCGACGGGUAGCCGGCCUGAGAGGGCGACCGGCCACACUGGGACUGAGAUACGGCCCAUACUCCUACGGGAGGCAGCAGUGGGGAAUAUUGCACAAUGGGCGAAAGCCUGAUGCAGCGACGCCGCGUGAGGGAUGAAGGCCUUCGGGUUGUAAACCGCUUUCAGCAGGGACGAAGCGAAAGUGACGGUACCUGCAGAAGAAGCGCCGGCUAACUACGUGCCAGCAGCCGCGGUAAUAAU
RNAcentral lists this ribosomal RNA (447 nucleotides) under uncultured bacterium. RNAcentral's name for it is "bacterial SSU rRNA". It matches the Rfam family "Bacterial small subunit ribosomal RNA", at positions 64 to 526 of the family's 1533-position model. The record is from RNAcentral.